This is a non-coding RNA of Ictidomys tridecemlineatus (thirteen-lined ground squirrel), 2138 nucleotides long. The record is from RefSeq and is a predicted model, not a curated record. Lineage: Eukaryota; Metazoa; Chordata; Mammalia; Rodentia; Sciuridae.
GUUCUAUUUGUUAAGAGAACGUUUGCAGUUAAGGUCGGCAGUGUUAGCAGGACAGAUCAGAGCAACAGAGGAGUGGGUAGAAAAUGGAAGAGAAUGUGGCCUAGUUCACUGCCUGCCAAAGCUGGACCGGGGGGUCCUCUAAAGGAUGGGCCAUCAGCAAUCGCUUGUGAAUGAGAAGCCCAUCAGACAUGAUUGAAUCCUUCCCACAUGGAACCCAGAAUCUCUUGGGUCCCUUUGAACUGCAAACAGCUUCAGGACUGACCCAGACUGCAAGGCCCUGGGUUCAGGCUCCCAGUGGGGGAGCCAGAGUUCAGAGGCAGCCACCAGCAGUCUAGGCCACCCCCUUCCAUGCCAACCCCUCCUCUGAUCUGACUAGGCUGAGGCCACCAGGCAGAAGCAAGUGGAACUAAAUCAAUCUUCUUUGGGUCCAACUCUGCCCUUUUCAUAGUUAUGCUGCCAUUAACGUACUGUCCUUGAAACAUUCUUCAUGGUUAUUAAUUACCCUUUGUUUAUUUUAAUAUAUUUGCUAAAUCAGGUACCCAAGGGAGUCCUCUACAUCAGUGAUGUGAAAAGUCCAGUUGCCUGAAGUCAAAGAGAUGCUGCAAGAUGACCCACAUUGGCACCAGGCUUCGGAGAGACAACAGGGAACCACAAGGGAUCACUUUCAGAGGAGUGCCAAUCUGAAAGAGAGGUGUCCACACUGGGGACAUGGCCAGUGUAAUCAAAGCUGCACUUCCCUGGCCAUGCCAAGGGCCAGGCAGAGAAUCAACUAAGUUCAGUCCUUGCUGAAGCCACCCAAGUUCCUCCCUUGAAGUUGAUAUUAAUGACCUGCAGUUGUUGAGUGUCUUAGAGCUCCAACAUGCUUUAAAAAAAAAAAAAAAAACUGGAACUUUCUUAAAAAUGCAGAAGGCUACCUUGCAGAGUGGGGCAGCCCCAACCUGAGGUGGGACUGACACCCACUGUUCUGGCCUUGACUGAGUUUACCCAGCCAGAAGGGGAAGAGUCUCUGCAACACCGACCAUGCAGGAGCAGAUGCCCCCCUGGAGAAGUGUGCACCAGGCCUGACCCACCGUGACUGGCCAGUAGACGACAAUUCUUCAGCUGACCUGGCUACUCAGCGUCAACCUGUGAAACAGCUGGCAACAGCCACCAUCGCCCCAGCUGGGUGUGCUUUGCAUGUAUUAGUGUCUUUAUUCUUUGAAACUUCCUUCCAAAGUGAGUGAUACUAUUCUUGUUUUGCAGAUGAUAAAACUAGGCCAAGACGGUGUGAAGGCAGAGGGGUGUAAUUAUUUCUUUUCUAAAUCAUGACACACGCUUGUGGACAUCCCACCCUCCUGGAGUGCAUACUAGUAACUGGUUUCUGAACAUUCAUAUCCCAAGAGGCUUCAGGGGUGUAGACAGGGAGGUGUGAGAUUCGGAGCCCUCAGACUCUCGGAUCUAGACCUGCCUGCUCUGUCUUGCCCCAGCCCACCUUUGAUGAGCGGCCCUCCCCGGGAGUACCCAGCACCCCAGGGCCUGAUGGGAGGCUGGGGUAUCUGACGGGCAUUGCUUCCUGAGGGGGCUGUAGGGAAGUCCCAAGACAGAAAGGGACUUCGCACCGUGGAGCCGUUAAAAUGAAACGACCUUUUCCAGAACGAUACAGGACUCUCCAUUGUCAAGGCCAUCCAGGUAGCCGAGGACCAAUUAAUGGUCCCAGGAGACAUCAUGCUGGAAUCCUGUCCUGCAGAAUUGUUUGAAGAUGCAUCUGUAAACCCAGAGAUUCAAGAUCAACCACCAACGUGUUCCCUGACACCCCCCCCCAAACACACACACACACUCACAGGGGUGGUUUUACCUUGCUAUGUCUUAAGUUCCUUUUCUCUCUGAGUCUGAGAUAUGAGUAAUUCAUUACACAAUUGGAUUUUACGGUUUGUUUAUGUUGAUUCCGAUUACAGAAUAAAUGACUACCUGGAGUAUAUAGAAAAAAAAGACUAAUGAAAAAACAAGCAUCAAUCAAGAACAUUUAUGAAUAAAGACUUUAAACAUCCAUACUUAGAAAUAUAUAUGAUAUUUAGAAAUAGAUCUGAAAAGACUUAUGUAAUGUGUUUUAAUCAAAUCUUGAAGAGAAAUUGACCAAUAAAUCAAAUCUUGAAAAGAAA